AGCAUUUGCAAUGGAGGAGGAGGGGCAUCAGCCGUUGUGCUUGAGCUCAUGUCAGUUGCGAGGGUGGGACCUUCUUUGUUAUGAACAAAUUGGUUACUGUAACAUCAGCAUACUGUUUGGCAAUUUCAUCAUUUUCUUUUUUUAUAUUACCUUCCCUUAAUAAAGGAAGAUGCAGCAUGCUGCACUAGGGUAUGUAGGAGAAGGGAUCUAACUGAUGAUUAUUAAAAUAAAUGCUCAAGCAGUACAACUUAUCAGAAGGUUUGGAUGAAGAAUAUGUCUACGACAAGAACAGCUACACUACAAUAAUGGACUUGGGUACUUUCAUAUCUCCCACAACAGAUAAAGAGAAAGGAAAUGUGCAUGAAUUGCCACUUCCUGAACAUCUUAAUAUGUGCAUGAAUUGCCACUUCCUGAACAUCUUAAUUACUGGCUAUUACAGUUUAGAAACAAUUUAUUUUUCCCGAGUCCUGCAUGAUAUGGUAGUCUCGACAGGUUUGAACAAGAGGUGGAGGUUCCGAUUUUCUCAAGGGCGAGGCCCCCUCCAAAAAUUUUAAAAUUUUAUGAAUAUAUAAUAUACUAUAAUUAUUAUUAUUUUUUAUUAGUAAAUUUUCAUUGGUUGGCUCCCCUA
RNAcentral lists this unclassified non-coding RNA (628 nucleotides) under Hevea brasiliensis (rubber tree). The record is from RNAcentral. Lineage: Eukaryota; Viridiplantae; Streptophyta; Magnoliopsida; Malpighiales; Euphorbiaceae.